UACGGGGGGAGCAAGCGUUGUUCGGAUUUACUGGGCGUAAAGGGCGCGUAGGCGGUCAGCACAAGUCAGUUGUGAAAUCUCCGGGCUUAACCCGGAAAGGUCAACUGAUACUGUGCGACUAGAGUGCGGAGGGGGCAACUGGAAUUCUCGGUGUAGCGGUGAAAUGCGUAGAUAUCGAGAGGAACACCUGCGGCGAAGGCGGGUUGCUGGGCCGACACUGACGCUGAGACACGAAAGCGUGGGUAGCAAACAGG
Molecule: ribosomal RNA, 254 nt
Filed under: uncultured bacterium
Lineage: Bacteria
Description: partial 16S ribosomal RNA
Rfam family: Bacterial small subunit ribosomal RNA
Source: RNAcentral